UACGAAGGGAGCUAGCGAUGUUCGGAAUUACUGGGCGUAAAGCGCGUGUAGGCGGCUCGGAAAGUCGGGUGUGAAAGCCCUGGGCUUAACCCAGGAAGUGCACUCGAAACUUCCGAGCUGGAGUCCUGGAGAGGAAGGCGGAAUUCUCGGUGUAGAGGUGAAAUUCGUAGAUAUCGAGAGGAACACCUGCGGCGAAGGCGGGUUGCUGGGCCGACACUGACGCUGAUGCGCGAAAGCCAGGGGAGCGAACGGG
This 253-nucleotide ribosomal RNA is filed under the name uncultured bacterium. RNAcentral's name for it is "partial 16S ribosomal RNA". It matches the Rfam family "Bacterial small subunit ribosomal RNA", at positions 524 to 776 of the family's 1533-position model. The record is from RNAcentral.